Molecule: non-coding RNA, 188 nt
Filed under: Pseudomonadota bacterium
Lineage: Bacteria; Pseudomonadati; Pseudomonadota
Description: Proteobacteria bacterium (cold seep metagenome) 6S RNA
Rfam family: 6S / SsrS RNA
About the family: E. coli 6S RNA was the first non coding RNA to be sequenced, but its function was unknown until recently.
Source: RNAcentral
ACAUCUCUGGGGCGUACGUAAGCGACCUGUAUUAUCCCUUGAGCCUUAAAUACUGACUUAGGGAACUGGACUGUUACGACCGUGUGCAUUACCGCUUUGGCGGGAAGCCUAAAGUCGCAACGCUGAUUCCCCCCUGGACUUCCCGGUUCAAGGUCAACAGUAUUUGCUACGGCGUCCCCGGAGAUGUC